This 23-nucleotide non-coding RNA is filed under the name Arabidopsis thaliana (thale cress). Lineage: Eukaryota; Viridiplantae; Streptophyta; Magnoliopsida; Brassicales; Brassicaceae. The record is from RNAcentral.
UUGGUUCCUAUGCAUAGAGGUUG